UACGAAGGGGGCGAGCGUUGUUCGGAGUUACUGGGCGUAAAGGGUGUGUAGGCGGUUGUUUAAGUUUGGUGUGAAAUCUCCCGGCUCAACUGGGAGGGUGCGCCGAAUACUGAGCGACUAGAGUGCGGGAGAGGAAAGUGGAAUUCCUGGUGUAGCGGUGAAAUGCGUAGAUAUCAGGAGGAACACCGGUGGUGUAGACGGCUUUCUGGACCGUAACUGACGCUGAGACACGAAAGCGUGGGGAGCAAACAGG
RNAcentral lists this ribosomal RNA (253 nucleotides) under uncultured bacterium. RNAcentral describes it as "partial 16S ribosomal RNA". It matches the Rfam family "Bacterial small subunit ribosomal RNA", at positions 524 to 776 of the family's 1533-position model. The record is from RNAcentral.